Molecule: signal recognition particle RNA, 272 nt
Filed under: Candidatus Gugararchaeum adminiculabundum
Lineage: Archaea; Nanobdellati; Microcaldota; Candidatus Micrarchaeia; Candidatus Gugararchaeales; Candidatus Gugararchaeaceae
Description: Archaea_SRP
Rfam family: Archaeal signal recognition particle RNA
Source: RNAcentral
AUGCAGGAUAGGUCGGGAAGCCAGGGGUUUCCUGUUACCGCAAAUCCCCUUUAGGCGGGACCGAAAAACUGGGAAAGAGGGAACUGAAUUUUUGGAAGGACUGGUUUGAAAGCGUCGAAGCGCUGUCCUGCUUGGUGGAAAUCCAAUCGAAUCGGGUCAGGCCGGAAGGAGCAGCCCUAAGUUUGUGUUUUCAUGCUAGCAGAAAACGGCGUGGAGCAAUCGAGUCGGAAACCUCCAGGGAUUCGUUUCAGCGAUUCCGGAACUUCCUGCAU